RNAcentral lists this ribosomal RNA (200 nucleotides) under uncultured bacterium. RNAcentral describes it as "partial 16S ribosomal RNA". It matches the Rfam family "Bacterial small subunit ribosomal RNA", at positions 8 to 198 of the family's 1533-position model. The record is from RNAcentral.
AGAGUUUGAUCCUGGCUCAGGACAAACGCUGGCGGCGUGCGUAACACAUGCAAGUCGGACGAGGCCUGCGCUCUUUUCGGAGAGGGCAGGUUGAGUGGCGGACGGGUGAGUAACACGUGGAUAACCUGCCCUGGUGUGGGGGAUACCCUGUAGAAAUACGGGCUAAUACCGCAUGCGGUCGAUGAGGGGGAGCCCUGAUC